GUGCCAGCCGCCGUGGUACUACGAAGGGUGCAAGCGUUAAUCGGAAUUACUGGGCGUAAAGCGCGCGUAGGUGGUUUGUUAAGUUGAAUGUGAAAGCCCCGGGCUCAACCUGGGAACUGCAUCCAAAACUGGCAAGCUAGAGUAUGGCAGAGGGUGGUGGAAUUUCCUGUGUAGCGGUGAAAUGCGUAGAUAUAGGAAGGAACACCAGUGGCGAAGGCGACCACCUGGGCUAAUACUGACACUGAGGUGCGAAAGCGUGGGGAGCAAACAGGAUUAGAAACCCGUGUACC
Molecule: ribosomal RNA, 290 nt
Filed under: uncultured bacterium
Lineage: Bacteria
Description: partial 16S ribosomal RNA
Rfam family: Bacterial small subunit ribosomal RNA
Source: RNAcentral